This 30-nucleotide non-coding RNA is filed under the name Mus musculus (house mouse). Lineage: Eukaryota; Metazoa; Chordata; Mammalia; Rodentia; Muridae. The record is from RNAcentral.
UGGGAGGCCAAAGUUGGGAAGACCCAUAGA